This 3429-nucleotide ribosomal RNA is filed under the name Listeria monocytogenes. RNAcentral's name for it is "bacterial LSU rRNA". It matches the Rfam family "Bacterial large subunit ribosomal RNA". Lineage: Bacteria; Bacillati; Bacillota; Bacilli; Caryophanales; Listeriaceae. The record is from RNAcentral.
UUGGCUUAAGUUAAGAAAAGGGCGCACGGUUGGAUGCCUUGGUCCAGCUAAGGAGGCCGAAGACAGGACGGCGACUAAGCAACCGAAUAUUGCUUUGGGGAGGCUGUUACGUAAAGCGUUGCAUCCCAGCAGAUUUCCGAAUGGGCGGGAAGCGGGCCACGUAUCUUUAGUCGGAUUAGUAUCCUUACGCUGAAUACAUAGCGUGAGGAAGGGGCAGACGCCAGGGAACUUGAAACCAAAUCUAAGUAGCCUGGAGCAGAGAGCAAAAAAAAAUCGAUUUCCUGAGUAGCGCCCCGAGCGAAACGGAAAAGAGCCCAAAGCCAAGAAGCUUGCCCUUCUUGCGGAGUUGCCUAGCGAGCAACUCUAUACGGAAGUUACAAAAGAAAGUUAUAAAGUGAAGCGGUCUGGAAAAGGCGCCGCCAAAAGACGGGUAAGGCAAGCCGCCGUAGUUGAAAUGGCAUUUACCACCCCCCCCCCGCUCCAGAGUGGCAUCCUGAGCUACGGCGGAAACAGCGUGAAAUUCCGUCGGAAUCCCGCGAGGACCAAUCUCCCAAGGCCUAAAUACCUCCCUUAGCUGACCUGAUAGUGCAACGCAGUACACACUGAAGGGAAAUCGUGAAAAAAUAGCAACCCCGGAAGCGGGAAGCUGAAAACAGUUCACUGAAACCGCUGUGCCACAAGCAAGUAGAUUAGAACCCCGUUAAUGGGCUGAAUAGCGUGCCCUUUGUAGAAUGAAACCGGCCGAAGUAGCGAUUUGUAUGCAAGCGUUAAAGCCGCAAAAAAGCGGAGCCCCUAGGCGCAAAAGCGAGUCAUGAAUAGGGCGCAUAAGCUAAAACAGCUCGUAUGACCCGAAAACCAACGUGAUCUACUCCAUGUCCAGGAUGAAGGCUAACGGUAAUAACUUACCUAGGAGGGGCCGAAGCCCAACGCACGUUUUGAAAAGUGCGGGGAUGAGGUGGUGGGUAGCGGAGAAAUUCCAAUCGAACUUGCGGAGCAUAGGCUGGUUUCAUGCGUCCGAAAAUAGCUUUAGGGCUAGCCUCGAAGGUAAAGAGUAACAUGCAGAGGAUAGAGGCCACUGUUUGGACUAGGAGCCCUUUCUUCGCGGUUAACCAGAAUUCAGCAUAAAUAACCCAGAAAGGCCAUGCCAAGCAUUAUAGCUCGGCAAGUCAGACUGCGAGUGAGAUAAGAUGCCGCUAGUCCGAAAGGCGAAAGCAGCCGCAAGACCCACAAGUUAUAAGCGUCCCCAAAUAUAUGAUUAAGUGGAAAAAGGAAGUGCUGGGGUUGGCUUUAGACAAACCAGGAUGUUGGCCCUAAGAAAGGCCAGAAGCCACACAUUGAAAAGACUGGCGCCUAAUAGCCUCUACUGGUCGAAGUGACCCCGCCCGCGAAAAAUGUACCGGGCUCCAAACAUAUUUACCGCAACACGCUGGAUGAACCUCUUUUAGAGGUUCGCUGGCUGAGCGAGAAUGGCGUUUCUAAGGGCGGUGAAGUCAUAGACCCGAAGGACUGGUGGAGCGCCUUAGAAGUGAUGAAUGCCCGGUAAUCUGAGUAGCGGAAAGAUAGUUGGUGAGAAUCCCCUUCCACCUGAAUAUCUAAGGCUUUCCUGCUGAGGAAGGCUCGUCCGCUCAGCGGUUUAGUCGGGCACCUAAGGCCUGAAGCCGCCGAUAGCCGCUAGGCGAAUGGACAACAGGUAAGAGAUUUCCUGUACCAGUGCCUAAUUGUUUAACCGAUGGGGCGGAAACAGAAGGAUAGCGAAUUCUGCACGGAAAUGGAAAAUGUGGCGUCCAAGCAGUGAGUGUGGAGAAGUAGGCAAAAUGCCGCUUCUCGCGAAGCAUCGAGCCUGUGAUGGGGCAAGGAAAAUUAAGCUACCGGAAGCUUCCUGAUUUCAGCGGCUGUCAAGAAAAGGCCUCUAGCGGAAGAGUAGUACUGCCCGUACGCCCAAACCGACACAGGUUAUGAUGAGGAGAGAAUCAUAAAAGGUGAGCGAGAGAACGUCCUCGUAACGAACUUCGGCAAAAUGCAACCCCGUAAACUUUCGCGGAGAAAGGGGUGCUCUCUAUUAGGGUGCAAGGGCCCCGAGAGAGCCGUCAGAGUUGCAAUAGGCCCGCAGGCGACUGUUUAGGCAAAAAGCACAAGGUCUUCUGCCCAAAAACCGUAAGGUGACGUAAUAGGGGCCGACGCCUGCCCUGGUGGGGGCUGUGGAAAGGUUAAAGAGGAGUGCUUAGCUUCCGGCGAAGGUAACGAAUUGAAAGCCCCAGUAAAACUGGCGGCCGUAACUAUAAGCGGUGCCUAAAGGUAAGCGAAAUUCCUUGUCCGGUAAGUUCGCGACCUCGGCAACCGAACGAAAAGGAGCAACGGAUCUGGGCAGCUUGUCUCAACAAGAGACUCGUGGUGGAACAUUAGUAGUACCUGUGAAGAUGGCAGGUUAACCCGCGACCAGGACGGAAAGACCCCGUGGAGCUUAACUGCAACCUGCAUAUGAGAUGUUUGUACCGCUUUGUAAGCAGGAUACGUAGCGCAGCCGAACAGACGGCGUGCGCUAAGGAUACGAGGAGCCAAUGGUGGGAUAGCUACCCCGCGCUGUAUGACCAUUCUAAUCCCGUGACAACGCUUAGCGCGGUGGGCGAGACAGUGUCAGGUGGGCAGUUUGACUGGGGCGCUCGCCUCGCUAAAAGAGUAAAACGGAGGCAAUGGUGGGAUACUACCCUGGCUGUAUGACCAUUCUACCCCGCCACGCUUAGCGCGUGGGGAGACAGUGUCAGGUGGGCAGUUUGACUGGGGCGGUCGCCUCCUAAAGAGUAACGGAGGCGCCCAAAGGUUCCCUCAGAAUGGAUGGAAAUCAUUCGCAGAGUGUAAAGGCACAAGGGAGCUUGACUGCGAGACUGACAAGUCGAGCAGGGACGAAAGUCGGGCUUAGUGAUCCGGUGGUUCCGCAUGGAAGGGCCAUCGCUCAACGGAUAAAAGCUACCCCGGGGAUAACAGGCUUAUCUCCCCCAAGAGUCCACAUCGACGGGGAGGUUUGGCACCUCGAUGUCGGCUCGUCGCAUCCUGGGGCUGUAGUCGGUCCCAAGGGUUGGGCUGUUCGCCCAUUAAAGCGGCACGCGAGCUGGGUUCAGAACGUCGUGAGACAGUUCGGUCCCUAUCCGUCGCGGGCGCAGGAAAUUUGAGAGGAGCUGUCCUUAGUACGAGAGGACCGGGAUGGACACACCGCUGGUGUACCAGUUGUUCCGCCAGGAGCAUCGCUGGGUAGCUAUGUGUGGCAGGGAUAAACGCUGAAAGCAUCUAAGCGUGAAGCCCCCCUCAAGAUGAGAUUUCCCAUUUCUUCGGAAAGUAAGAUCCCUGAAAGAUGAUCAGGUAGAUAGGUUUGGAGUGGAAGUGUAGCGAUACAUGGAGCGGACAAAUACUAAUCGAUCGAGGACUUAACCAAAA